UUUUCAUUGGUUUCUGUGAAAU
RNAcentral lists this microRNA (22 nucleotides) under Caenorhabditis elegans. Its description in RNAcentral is "cel-miR-797-3p". Its record names the gene cel-miR-797-3p. Lineage: Eukaryota; Metazoa; Nematoda; Chromadorea; Rhabditida; Rhabditidae. The record is from miRBase by way of RNAcentral.